Molecule: long non-coding RNA, 1090 nt
Filed under: Heterocephalus glaber (naked mole-rat)
Lineage: Eukaryota; Metazoa; Chordata; Mammalia; Rodentia; Bathyergidae
Description: lncRNA (ENSHGLG00100052597.1)
Source: RNAcentral
AAACAACGUGGUUAAUGCUGAACACCUGCUUUCCUCCUGGCUGUCUACAGAGUUUUGGCAUGUGCUAGGAAACAAGCAGCCCUGUUGUGAGCUGGCCUCUGGAGAGGUCCAUGGGGCAGGAAACAGGGCAGUCUUAAGAGUUGAGCCCGAGCUCGACAGCUUCUGAGAAACUAAUCUCACCACCAACCACAGAGCCCGGAAGCAGACCCUUCCCCGCCCAAGUCCUGAGAUGACUGCAGCCUGGCUGACCCUUGAUUACAACUCUGAAGAUGCUCUUGGCCAGAGGACCCAUAAAGACCCACCCUGAUGGACUUCUCAUUGGCAGACAACAAUGUUGUUUUAGUGGCUAUGUCUGAGUACUCUGCUACUUAGCAAUUGAUAACUAACACACUCUACCAUGUAAACCAACUAAACAUUCAGACAAUACAGCAUAUGAAGCAAGGGCUUCCAGACUGUGGACAUCUGGCAACUAAGGAUAUGAUGCCCAAAAGAAAGGAAAUGAGCCCCAGGAUCAUGCUAGCUUACAGCACAGAAAGUGAAAGGCUUGGUGCCGGGAAAAGGAGCCCCAGCAAGUAAAUUUAAAUUCACAGGGCAGAGUCCUAGAGAAUGAAGAGGCCCAAAGAGAGCUGUAGGAGCCUGCAGGGGUCCUCCCUACCCCAGUUUUCAGUUCAGGACUUUUAAUGAGCCUAGGUUAAAACAGCCUUAGGAGGGGAAGAAGAAAGGAUGAGAGGAACCAAUCUCUAAAGCUCAUUCAGGGCAAGGAAUCCUGUCUGUUCUCACCAAUGAGCACCUCAUUAAUUCCAAUGAAGUACCAAUGAAGUGCUCAGCAGAGUACUGCCUCACUAGUGGGGCAAAACUGGAGCUAGACUACAGUAGAUCUGGACCCACAGAAGGCUUAAAAACAAGACCAAACAGGGGUGGGGGUUCUAUCCCAAAAGAACCACUAGGCCUGGCUAACACACACUGGUAUAUGAGAACAUGCCUGUGCCGUGUUCUGAGGGUGGGAGAGCAAAGAGACAGAAGAUAAACCUGGACUGAGGUAAAGAUGAGGCAUCCUUACCUGACACAGGAUUUAACACUAAGGAGAGAG